CGGGGUGUGGCGCAGCGGAAGCGCACUGGUCUGGGGGACCAGGGGUCGUUGGUUCAAAUCCAAUCACCCCGA
This 72-nucleotide transfer RNA is filed under the name bacterium. RNAcentral's name for it is "tRNA-Pro". It matches the Rfam family "tRNA". From Rfam's summary of the family: Transfer RNA (tRNA) molecules are approximately 80 nucleotides in length. Their secondary structure includes four short double-helical elements and three loops (D, anti-codon, and T loops). RNAcentral also lists the same sequence under 3 other names. The record is from RNAcentral.